AAAACGUAUCGAACCAACAUUAAUGAAUUUUUUUUUAUUGUCAACUCAUUAUUUCACCAUUUUUUGAAGACUACUUCUGCAGAAAACGUUCAAGAUAAGUAAAGAUUAAAAGAAUUUGAAACAUCUCGAAGAGUUUAUUUGCUACAAUUACUCUCUUCUAUUAGGGUUUUUCUAUUUAGCUUCUCAUACCCAAUUUCCUAUAUUUUCUCGACUCACUGGAUAUCUUAAGAUAGAAAGUCAGGAGGAACGCAAGAGAGAGUUCAGAUCUCCGCUAAUAAUUCUUGAAUGGUGGUGUCUCAGCGUAAUCGCUAUACAGUAGGGGAGGGAGGAAUUGGUACUGUAAUUAUAGGAUUUUUCAAAAUGUUUUUGAUUGAGAUUUCUUCUGCAAUGGCAUACGUUGUUUAAGAGAGACAAUUGGAUAGUGGAAGCAUGGCUAAAGAGGAGCUGCAAAAAUGGGGACUAAGGCCGAUGAAAGAAGUUGUCAUAAGCUGCACUAACCAAGAGUAAAUCAUUGGAGAAAUGAAAAAAACCUUGCCGGAAAUGCCUUGGGGGUUAACAAGAACUGGCAUGGUGGCUUAUUUUGCGGUGCUGGUAGUGGUUGUGGCGGCAGUGUGGUGAUAGACGUCGUGGGAGCGUCAGCAAUUUAGGAUAUGAUUUUUGUCAAGACUGAUGACUUUCAGACUGAUUAUUUUGCAAGAAUUUUGCAAGAAGGUUUAUAUCAAAGUUGAUGGUUAUAUAUGUCGCUAUAAAGAAAACUCCCAUGCGAUUCUUCACUUUAUUCGGGAUAAGAGGAUGCAGACAAAUAUGUUGCAAGUUUCUAAUACCCUAAACAGACAGUAAGGUGGGCCUAGGAGAAGAUAGCCUCCAAUUUUCGUUAGUUCUAUAAGUGACCAAACCAUUGGUGAUUAACGAAGUGAACAGAGGACUACACGGUGAAGAUAGUCUCCAAUUUUCACACUUAUUGACAGUGAACUACACGGUCACCACAGAGCCUUCAAAGAGGAUAUUAUAGUUGUCUUUCCUCUGGUGGAUUAGCUCAAUAACGAAGUUCAUAUAUUUUGUUGAACGAAACUUUGUCUUCAUCCCAAUCUGCUACACAUAAUCUCCUCUUUCUUUUAGCUACAUUGUUGUUUCAUUGAAAUGCAAUACGUGGAACUAGAUAAAUAAAUCAAGUGUGAAUCAUUUUACCUAAAA
Long non-coding RNA from Brassica napus (rape), 1194 nucleotides. RefSeq lists it as uncharacterized. The record is from RefSeq and is a predicted model, not a curated record. NCBI's taxonomy places the organism in Eukaryota, Viridiplantae, Streptophyta, Magnoliopsida, Brassicales, Brassicaceae. The transcript has 6 exons.